UACGUAGGGUGCAAGCGUUGUCCGGAAUUAUUGGGCGUAAAGAGCUCGUAGGCGGUUUGUCGCGUCUGAUGUGAAAACUCGGGGCUUAACCCCGGGCCUGCAGUGGGUACGGGCAGACUAGAGUGCGGUAGGGGAGACUGGAAUUCCUGGUGUAGCGGUGAAAUGCGCAGAUAUCAGGAGGAACACCGGUGGCGAAGGCGGGUCUCUGGGCCGUAACUGACGCUGAGGAGCGAAAGCGUGGGGAGCGAACAGG
Molecule: ribosomal RNA, 253 nt
Filed under: uncultured bacterium
Lineage: Bacteria
Description: partial 16S ribosomal RNA
Rfam family: Bacterial small subunit ribosomal RNA
Source: RNAcentral